Mus musculus (house mouse) is the source of this 5988-nucleotide RNA transcript. It is a transcript of the gene named predicted gene, 46294, with no coding region annotated. The record is from RefSeq and is a predicted model, not a curated record. The transcript is spliced from 2 exons. NCBI's taxonomy places the organism in Eukaryota, Metazoa, Chordata, Mammalia, Rodentia, Muridae.
CCACAGUGGGACAGGAAGUGAUGAGCACGUGACAGGAAGCCAUUUUUUUCCUCCCCUCGCUGUUAAGGGGGGUGCUGACUGGAGAGUUUGCAGCCUUUGGGGAAUCAGCUGUCAUCCCCCAACAUCCCCCUACCUGGAGCUGGCGAGAAGAGGGAUCAGCUAGGAGGGUGGCCACUCCCACCACUGUGUGCACGGUCAGUUCAUACAAGGCUCACGGGGCCCUCCUUCUCCACCUGCCACUCAAGGUUACCCCCCCUCAUUCCCCCUCCUCUCCACUUCCUGCCGUGACUGGAGAUCAGAGAACUCCAUGCCACAGCUUCCUCUUCUCAAGUCUCGAUUCCUGGGCUGAAGGUUUCGCUGUGGGGCAAGGGACAGAAGGGCUGGGGACCUGCAGCAGGGCCCAAGGGGCAGAUGCUCCAGUGGGAGGGGCCCCCUAAUAGGUAUCUACUCACAGGCACACAAUGAGUAGGUCACCGAGACACACUGAGGCUGCCUGACCUUAGACAACUUUUGGGGGAAGAGGGAGCCAGGGCUAGAGGAUCUAACCAGUACCCCACGCACCCCACAUGGGUCCUAUCGUGAGCCUACCGGUUCAUUUUGGUUUUUCUGGCGGCCUCCAAGCAGGCAAAUUCCCAAAUGCCCAGCCCCUCCCACCACUCCCCUGCCCUUUGUGCUGAGGAAUCCCCGCUCCAAGGUGCCCGCCCAGACGAGGGCACCUUGGCUGAGGUGAGAGGGAAUGGAACCUCCCUCCCCUCCCCUCCCUCCCCUUCUCUGCAGAUGUCCCAGGCUAUAUUUAGCUCAAACCGGGCGGCCAGCCAGCCCCAGACUCCCCACCGGCCGAGAGCUGAGCUCCCAGUUUUUAUGCAAUUAAAACAUUAAGAGAACCACCCCAUCUGCCCCCCAUGUACGUGUACACACACACACACAUACACAGAAAGAGAGAGAGAAAGAGAGAGAGAGAGAGAGAACCCUGUCAAGGCAGCAGAGCUCUAAGAACUUCAAGGAGGGCUGCCUGACUCUACGGCAGCCUAUGAUAGGGUAAAGGGGUCCCUCAGGCAGGAUAGGAGCAUCAGAACUCCAAUUAGGUUGACAUGGGGGAGGUGGGGGGAUGUGCUUUCCUAGUUCCAACCAGGAAGGCAUAUCCAGUGGAGGUGGGGGGCUGGCUGCAGAAAUUCCACCUGUCAUUUUGCAGCCCCUCACUGGCCAGCUCCAGUUACAAGGCUGGGGUUGGCAACAGGUGCUGGCCAGGCUGGCAGCAGACUAAUCCCCCAUCAGCUCCUGGGAGCCUGGAGGUCCAGCAGGGGGCUUUGGGGGCAGAUGCUAAAUGGAAGGAGGUAUCUCAGAGCAGUCUCAGGACCUCUGCAGGAGGCAGCCCCUAAGUGAUGGAGGAAGCAGGGAAGCCAGGCAAAACCUACAAACACCUAUUUCAUCUUCCCUGUGAUGCCAGGCCGGCGGGCGCACUAGAGUCUGGGAGGUCUGUCUGCCUGCCUGCCUCUUCCUCCUCCUUACUAAAUUCCUGGAACAGGCAAGGGAGGUUCCAGUUGCAAAGAGAAGAGAAGGCAGGCGGUCCCAGCUUUGGGGAGGGGGGGGAGAUCCAAGGAGGGGUGUGGGGACCAGAGAGGGAGGCAAGAGCCAGACAAGAGCCAGACGAAGCAAGAGACACCCACACCCUAACCAGACUAGGGACACACACACACCCACACUGACAUAUUCUCACACUCUGGGCCAGGUCCCCCUCACGCCUCCCACCCUGCAGGGACACCCAGACACCCUCAACUCAUCUUGCCAAUUCCCAGAACACCUCCUUAGACACACAAGGAGAUCCAGACCCUGCCCUGCCCUGCCCCCACAGCCCACAGAAAGCGUGUGGGCUCCAGACAGCAGCAGGAGGGCGGGUGGAGGGAAACACAGGAGGAAAAGACAGCAGGCGUCAGCUAGGAUGUGUAGCCAAAGCCUCUGCAAGCUGGGGGUAUCAGUGGCUAUGCUUCUUUCUCAAGACUUGGUAAGUCAAGACAACCUCGGUCAUCUUGCCAGAGGCUCUUGCCACAGCUUCCCACACUCUCAAAACCACCACCACCAGCCAGGGGUGGGGUGCUGGGAGCAAAUCAUUGUACUUACUUGUCAAAGGGAUGGGAUUGCCUUCCCCAGCCACCAUCACCCUACAUCCUAGGCAGUGCUCCCCAGCAGACCGUAGGGAGGACUCAGCGCACCAGGGCCCCCUCCAAUUGAGAAGGGGUCCCUCUCUGCUCAGGCAUCCCCGGGGGCAUUAAGGCUAUUCCGAGCCCUGCCCGCAUGACGCCUAACUCUGAAGACUAUCCAUCUAAAACCCCAGUUCCUGAACAGAGUCACCUGGUAAGAAAAAAACGCAGAAGGCAGAGCCAGCUUCAGAGAGCAAACGGUUAACGGAAGCGUCCGUGUCAGUGUCCCCCCCACCCCCACCCAAGCAGACCUGAAGGCUACUCAAGUGUCCUCACCCCCUCACUAGACAGGCUGACAGGAACAACGUCAUGGCGUGUGUGGGUGACUGUGCCCACCGGAGGAGGCACAGGGGUGAUCAGGAUGAGCUACAGCUAGCUUCCUGCCAGGCUGCCACAUGGUUAAGAGGAGGAGGUGAACCAGAGAGGGAUCCCAGAGUGGCAGCAGGUGCAUUCAGGGUCAGAUGAGAGAGAGAGAGAGAGAGAGAGAGAGUCAGAGCUGUGGCAGGCAAGGCCCAGCCCGGGGGGCUUCACUGAACUGCGACCAGCUCCUGCAGUGUGGGUCUUCUGCAUACACCACAGGUUCACACCCUCCAAGUGCCUGCACACCCACCAUCGUAGGCUCCCAAGGGCCUACUUGAGUCUGACCCCACUGACCGCUCUGCUUCCCAGCCCAGCCUCCCAGGCAGCAGUGAUGUAUAUGCCAACCCCUCCCAGUGCAUCAUCUUUCAGAGACACAAACUCUGUGACUCCACAUCCCCCCCUAUUCCUCAGGAGAAAGAGCUACAUAGAUAACUCCAGAACCUCUUCUUGCUCCCUCCCCCUACUCAUCUCCACCCCUCCAGGGGAAGCCCCAAGGCUCCAGGCCACCCCCACUCGAAUCUGGGCCUUCCGUGCUUCAUCUCCAUACAAAGCCCUGGAGGAGUAAGAGGAGUUUGGGGGUCUGAACCCUAAUUUCCUCACAGGACAUCAGAGUCCUUACUGGAUAAUAUCCUCCCCCGCCACUCCCCCACUCGCGUGCCCCAAGUUUUGCCUUGUGAAGAUAAAAGAUGACAAAUCUGAGUCCCAUCCCCGGGCUGAUGGGGUGAUCAAGGGCAGAACUGAGAGCAAAGGGUAGCAAUUCUGUUGGAAAACAUCCACACAUACAUGUGCACACGGUCCACAGGUAGAAGGUAGCCAUCUGGCUGCAACAUCGGGAGCUGGCAUCAGGUUUCAAGAAGUCUUUUUGUUUGGUUUGGGUUUGAAGAGAAAAGAGAGUUCCCAGCAGUAGAUCCGCCACGACUGGAGCGCCGAGGACACGCGCGGCAGGCGGCCGCAGAAGCCUCAAGGCUGUGCGCGCGAAGACGCGGCGCAGACGGGGCUCCCCAACCCCGGACACGCCAGCGGCAGGCUGGGAAGUCCAGGAAACCCCAGGUCCCCGUCGAAACUGCCGGGCACCCAGUCCCCGCCCGCAGUUCCCAUCCAGAGUGGGCCACCGGGCCCCGAAGUGUGAGAGAAUCGAGGGUUCCCCAGGGUUCCAGGGGAGAGGUUACCUCGAAGCGAGGGGAUGCAACCCGUCUGCGUGUCUGCGGGCACAGGGUCUGCCCCAAGCAGGCGCCGCGGCGCUGCCCGGCGUCAGGGGUGUGGGGUCCUCCGAGAGGAGCCGUCCGGGGGGCCGCAGCUCAGGGGCGCGGGGCGACGGCAGCGGCCAUGGCGAGUCACGUGCAGAGGCUGAAACUUUACCCGGAGCCCUAGACUGGGGGGGGCGGAGGGUAUGGAGCUGGGGUGGGAGGGAGGCCCCCCUGCCGCAGGCCCGCCCCUGCAUGCCACGGGCCAAUCACUAACCGGGGGCGGGUCCUCAUGCUCACACCCGCCCCUCUCUCCUUAAUAGACCCAGGGAAGGGCGAGUCUUAAAGGAGACGCUUCCAGCUAGUGGCCGGACCGUGGGAAUCUGGGAGAAUCCCUCCCUCAACACGCCAGAAAGAGAUUCGGGGUGUGUGUGUGUGGGGGGGGGGGCGGUGUGAAGUUCAGAGAAAAGAAUAAAUUACGACUCGGCGGUGAACGAACCUCAGGGUGCGGGAUCCUACACACACUCCCUUUCCCCACCCCCCACCCCGCUACACGCCCACACUCACAGAGACACACACACAUCACACACACCUACCAAACCUGGGAAGAAAGGAGGUGGUGUAAUAUGGAGAACGCACUGACUCCUGCCCCAGCUGUCAAGUCUCUGUCUCUCCUAAUCACAAUCCUCCGGGGCCAGCUGAAACUGAAAGCUAUCUGACCUUGAGCAAAACACUUGGCUCCUCUGGACCUUAGUAUUUCUCAUCUGUAAAGCCGAAGUACAAAGGGAAGACCGUCUUCUCCAUAGAACAUCCUUCUUUCCCAAACACCUCUCCGGCUUGAGUAGGUUAGAGGAAAUUUCUAGCUCAACUGAAUCCCUUCGAGUAGCUAGAAAUAUGGUCACCCCAAGCCAGCUCUUUGGACGGCCUGGAGUCGCUCUCCAUUCUAGAAGACCCACUUGAGGGCCGAGGGCAGUUCAUACAUGUUCCAGGAGGACAGGAUCUGAACCACACUCCAUCUCCAGACCUCAAUUCCCAACUGUCACAAGCCCCCUCCGGGCCAGCCGGAGGUUAAGGUUUCCACCUCUAACACUGCACUGGAGGAGGGUGAGUCCACUAUGCAGUGCCUACCUCACCCGAGUUCCCGGGCAGAGAAGUGGCAACUGCCCCCCACAGGACAUCCCACUGGCAAGGGAAGUGCCACACACCCAGGCCUCCACCCUGGGGACGCUCAGUCUAAUCCGAUGUCCGGAUUUUCAGACUAAGAACAGGAGGUCCGAGGCCCAUAUGGGAUUUUGUCCACGGUUGCAUGGGUGUCUGAACCGGGCCUAGAACUAGAAUAUCUGCUUGUCUCUCUGUGGCUUUGCUCUGGCGGCCUUGGAAGGUAGGUAGCACAGCUCAGGUCCGUGGGACACUCUGUCCAGAGGUCGGACGCAAGGGAAAACUCCGCAAAGCGGUGCAGCGCUUCCCCAGACCCUUGCCGCCCCGCUGGGCUAGCGCAGUCUCCCGCUCCCGUCUGGAUUUCCGCCGGGGCGAACCACCCGCCCAGCCCCUCUCUUGCCGCCCCGCCCCGAUCUGUCCCGUCCAGAUCCAUCCACAAACAUGCGCUCAGCAGGCAAGAAUGCGUCAAUGGCUCCCAGAUGUGGAGGCCGCCGCUUAACCCAUUCCCUUCCACGCACCCACUCCCGUGCCCCCGUCAAGCCUUCCAGCCAGAGCCCCACCAUCAUCAGGAGCCUCCAUACAAGUGAGGAACCUACCUGGCUGAGAGGGUAGCCUAGGGCCAGUUCACCUCUAGUUUCCAUAGGCUCCUCUAGCCUAGAUCCUACCAGAUAGGUGCAUGCACAGAGUUACACUGCCUCCCUCCCACAUGGGCAGCCUUCAGACACACCUGCGGGCAUAUGGAUUCAGGUACACUUUUUUCAGGUACUUUUUCUUCUUCUUUCUUUCUUUCUUUCCUUCCUUCCUUCCUUCCUUCCUUCCUUCCUUCCUUCCUUCCUUCCUUUCUUUCUUUCUUUCUUUCUUUCUUUCUUUCUUUCUUUCUUUCUUUGUUCUUCUUCUUUCCCCUUCUUUCUUUCUUCUCCUUUCUUCUUUUUCUUCUUCUUUCUUCUUCUUGGACAGGGGUUCAGAAACCUCUGUGUAGCCCUGACUGUACUGGAACUUGCUCAGUAGACCUGGCUGGCCUUGAACUCAGGGGAUCUGUGCCUGCCCUGCCUUCUGGGUGCAGGGUAGGAUUAAAGGUGUGUGCCUUA